AUGUGGAGCGCUUAGAAGUGAGAAUGCCGGUGUGAGUAGCGAAAGACGGGUGAGAAUCCCGUCCACCGAUUGACUAAGGUUUCCAGAGGAAGGCUCGUCCGCUCUGGGUUAGUCGGGUCCUAAGCUGAGGCCGACAGGCGUAGGCGAUGGAUAACAGGUUGAUAUUCCUGUACCACCAUUAUUCGUUUUAAGCGAUGGGGGGACGCAGUAGGAUAGGCGAAGCGUGCUGUUGGAGUGCACGUCCAAGCAGUGAGAUUGAGUGUUAGGCAAAUCCGGCACUCUUAAGAUUGAGCUGUGAUGGGGAGAGGAACUUGUUCCUCGAGUCGUUGAUUUCACACUGCCGAGAAAAGCCUCUAGCUAGAAUAACGGUGCCCGUACCGCAAACCGACACAGGUAGUCAAGAUGAGAAUUCUAAGGUGAGCGAGCGAACUCUCGUUAAGGAACUCGGCAAAAUGACCCCGUAACUUCGGGAGAAGGGGUGCUCUUUGAGGUUCACGCUUCGAAGAGCCGCAGUGAAUAGGCCCAAGCGACUGUUUAUCAAAAACACAGGUCUCUGCUAAACCGUAAGGUGACGUAUAGGGGCUGACGCCUGCCCGGUGCUGGAAGGUUAAGAGGAGUGGUUAGCGCAAGCGAAGCUACGAAUCGAAGCCCCAGUAAACGGCGGCCGUAACUAUAACGGUCCUAAGGUAGCGAAAUUCCUUGUCGGGUAAGUUCCGACCCGCACGAAAGGCGUAACGAUUUGGGCACUGUCUCAACGAGAGACUCGGUGAAAUCAUAGUACCGGUGAAGAUGCCGGUUACCCGCGACAGGACGGAAAGACCCCGUGGAGCUUUACUGUAGCCUGAUAUUGAAAUUCGGUACAGUUUGUACAGGAUAGGUAGGAGCCUUAGAAGCGUGAGCGCUAGCUUACGUGGAGGCAUUGGUGGGAUACUACCCUAAUUGUAUUGGAUUUCUAACCCGCAGCACUUAUCGUGCUGGGAGACAGUGUCAGGCGGGCAGUUUGACUGGGGCGGUCGCCUCCUAAAGAGUAACGGAGGCGCUCAAAGGUUCCCUCAGAAUGGUUGGAAAUCAUUCAUAGAGUGUAAAGGCAUAAGGGAGCUUGACUGCGAGACCUACAAGUCGAGCAGGGUCGAAAGACGGACUUAGUGAUCCGGUGGUUCCGCAUGGAAGGGCCAUCGCUCAACGGAUAAAAGCUACCCCGGGGAUAACAGGCUUAUCUCCCCCAAGAGUUCACAUCGACGGGGAGGUUUGGCACCUCGAUGUCGGCUCAUCGCAUCCUGGGGCUGUAGUCGGUCCCAAGGGUUGGGCUGUUCGCCCAUUAAAGCGGUACGCGAGCUGGGUUCAGAACGUCGUGAGACAGUUCGGUCCCUAUCCGUCGUGGGCGUAGGAAAUUUGAGAGGAGCUGUCCUUAGUACGAGAGGACCGGGAUGGACAUACCUCUGGUGUACCAGUUGUCGUGCCAACGGCAUAGCUGGGUAGCUAUGUAUGGACGGGAUAAGUGCUGAAAGCAUCUAAGCAUGAAGCCCCCCUCGAGAUGAGAUUUCCCAACUUCGGUUAUAAG
Molecule: ribosomal RNA, 1561 nt
Filed under: Staphylococcus pseudintermedius
Lineage: Bacteria; Bacillati; Bacillota; Bacilli; Caryophanales; Staphylococcaceae
Description: partial 23S ribosomal RNA
Rfam family: Bacterial large subunit ribosomal RNA
Source: RNAcentral